This 444-nucleotide ribosomal RNA is filed under the name uncultured bacterium. RNAcentral's name for it is "SSU rRNA". It matches the Rfam family "Bacterial small subunit ribosomal RNA", at positions 26 to 518 of the family's 1533-position model. The record is from RNAcentral.
AGAACGAACGCUGGCGGCAUGCCUAACACAUGCAAGUCGAACGAAGGCUUCGGCCUUAGUGGCGCACGGGUGCGUAACGCGUGGGAAUCUGCCCUUGGGUUCGGAAUAACGUCGGGAAACUGACGCUAAUACCGGAUAAUAUCGCGAGAUCAAAGAUUUAUCGCCUGAGGAUGAGCCCGCGUAGGAUUAGCUAGUUGGUGGGGUAAAGGCCUACCAAGGCGACGAUCCUUAGCUGGUCUGAGAGGAUGAUCAGCCACACUGGGACUGAGACACGGCCCAGACUCCUACGGGAGGCAGCAGUGGGAAUAUUGGACAAUGGGCGAAAGCCUGAUCCAGCAAUGCCGCGUGAGUGAUGAAGGCCUUAGGGUUGUAAAGCUCUUUUACCCGGGAUGAUAAUGACAGUACCGGGAGAAUAAGCCCGGCUAACUCCGUGCCAGCAGCCGC